RNAcentral lists this ribosomal RNA (468 nucleotides) under uncultured bacterium. RNAcentral describes it as "bacterial SSU rRNA". It matches the Rfam family "Bacterial small subunit ribosomal RNA", at positions 37 to 518 of the family's 1533-position model. The record is from RNAcentral.
UGGCGGCGUGCCUAACACAUGCAAGUCGAACGGACUGAUCUCUCGGAGAAGAAAGUCAGUGGCGGACGGGUGAGUAACGCGUGAGUAACCUGCCUUACAGAGGGGGGAUAAACGUUUGGAAACGAACGCUAAUACCGCAUAACAUACGAUUGUCGCAUGGCAGACGUAUCAAAGGAGCAAUCCGCUGUAAGAUGGACUCGCGUCCGAUUAGAUAGUUGGCGGGGUAACGGCCCACCAAGUCGACGAUCGGUAGCCGGACUGAGAGGUUGAUCGGCCACAUUGGGACUGAGACACGGCCCAGACUCCUACGGGAGGCAGCAGUGAGGGAUAUUGCACAAUGGGCGCAAGCCUGAUGCAGCCAACGCCGCGUGAGGGAUGACGGUUUUCGGAUUGUAAACCUCUGUCUUCGGUGAUGAUAAUGACAUUAGCCGAGGAGGAAGCCACGGCUAACUACGUGCCAGCAGCAGC